GACGAACGCUGGCGGCGUGCUUAACACAUGCAAGUCGAACGGAAAGGCCCUGCUUGCAGGGUACUCGAGUGGCGAACGGGUGAGUAACACGUGGGUGAUAUGCCCUGCACUUCGGGAUAAGCUUUGGAAACUGGGUCUAAUACCGGAUAGGAGCCAUCCUUAGUGUGGUGGUUGGAAAGUUUUUUCGGUGUAGGAUGAGCUCGCGGCCUUUCAGCGUGUUGGUGGGGUAAUGGCCUACCAAGGCGGCGACGGGUAGCCGGCCUGCGAGGGUGUACGGCCACAUUUGGACUGAGAUACGGCGCAGACUCCUACGGGGGGCAGCAGUGUGGAAUAUUGCACAAUGGGCGCAAGCCUGAUGCAGAGACGCCGCGUGGGGGAUGAAGGCGUUCGGGGUGUAAACUCCUUUCGCUAGGGACGAGGCGUUGGUGUGACGGUACCUAGAUAAGAAGCACCGGCUAACUACGUG
RNAcentral lists this ribosomal RNA (466 nucleotides) under uncultured bacterium. RNAcentral's name for it is "partial 16S ribosomal RNA". It matches the Rfam family "Bacterial small subunit ribosomal RNA", at positions 28 to 507 of the family's 1533-position model. The record is from RNAcentral.